GUUUAGUAUUUUUGAGAACCCAGCCACCUGGCCAUGCUGUACCAGCCUUGUGCUGAGUGCUGGGGAUAAAGGAACAAAUAAAACCCAGUCCAGGCUUCUGUGUGCCCAGCCCUGUGCCGGGUCCCAGUGGGUAACAGCAUGUCCAAUCCCUUCAGUGUCCCACUAGAGGCUUCCUUUGGGGCUGCUGGGGACAUCUUGUUUCUAGUUGAGAAUUCAGAUUUAUGUCCAAAGACAAGAACUCCCUGAGGGGCAGAUUACAACAUGGACUGGGCCAUUACAAUCGACAAGGACACAAAGCUAACACAGCCAUCGUUAUACACCAGACAUGUGCUAAGGACUCGAUUUCCCCAUUGUUUAAUCAUCACCAACUCCAUUAUCACCCCCAUUUCACAGAUGUGGAAACUGAGGCUGAGAAGAGUAAGGGACUUGUCCAAGGGCACAGAGCAAGUCAGGGCUAUAGUGAUGUUUCAGGCCCAGACCUGUUUGCCUCUGGAGUCCAGGGUUUAACACACCCCAGUGCUGCUGUGAAAGGGAUCUGGACAGCUCAGGCUGGCCGGCCAAUGCGGGGAUAACCGAACAGAGGUAUGGAACAGAAAGGGGCAUUGAGGAUGUUGCUGUGUGUGUGCGGUGGGGGGAGUGACAAGGCUUCAGCAAUGGUACUCAUUCUCUCCAACCAGCUCCCAGUGCUGCUGUCCUCUGAUUCACCCUCCGCUCUGCCUGCCAUGGACUAAUUGUUCUGAAAUCCCAUGGAUCAAGUCACUCCUCAGCUGAGGACCUGUCCAUGGCUCCCUGGUACCCAGAGGAUAGAAACCCAGCAUUCAAAACCUCUCUAACCAGCUCCCCACCUCAACCCUCACACUCCUGCUCACUAGCCCCCAGGCGCAGUGGGCUCUUCCAGCAGCCAAGCCUCCGCCUACGGUGCCUUCUUGCCUGGAAUGCCCAACUCCCCCUUCUCAGCCUUGUUUGACUCUCAAGUAGGAAAAGCACUCUUUGUCUCCCUGAGCCCCUUGGCACUUAUCACAGAGCACUCUGGGCGUUAACUUCCACUGUCUCCGUCUUGGAUUAGAGUGGAUCUCAGAGGGCCCGGUGGUGUCUGCUUCACCUCCCUCUCCACUGCAGCAGCUUAGCAAGGACUGGCCGGGUAAACUAAAAAAUGCAAAGAGCUGAGAGAAUCCUGGGAAAGUGCACAUUUCCCAGGACUGCCCAAUGACAAGCCCCAUACCAAGGCACAGCAUCAGGAUACCCUCAUGUGGAAGAACCAAAAAUUGCACCCUCAUGGCUUAUCAGGAUGGUCCUUGUGUCUGUCCCUUUCAAGGGUUCUGAUAAUGAAAUCUGGGCAAGUCACCCUCCUGCUUUAAAACUUCCAAUGGUUCCCAGAGGUCUAGCAUAAAAUCCAAACUCAAGGGCCCACAUAACCUAGGUGCUGCCUGGCCCCCAGGCCCUCCUCUUGCCACGCCCCCCUCCCUGGACAGCCUCCCUCACUUCUUUCAGUUCCUCAAGGACUCCCCCUCACUAAAGCCUUACCCAGGUCGCCUCUCUGCCUAGGGGGCUCCUCCGUUCCCUGCUCACUCAGCCACCUCCCUCUCCCUCUUCAGGUCUCACUUUUUAGGGGAGGCUUCCCUGAUCUGUCCAGAUAAGACCUCACCACUCCCACCCAAUCCCACACGCUCCCAUAACCUGAUCGUUUCCUUCACAGCAAGAAUUAAUCUUCAGUGUAAAUAAUGAUCUACUGAAGACCUAUGAGGAAUGGGAAAGUCUUGUUUUUUGCUGAUUCUUCAACACCCAGCUCACAGCCUAAAUAUCUCUCAAAUGAAUGAAUAUAUGAAUGAAUGAAUGAAUGAAUGAACCUAUAUACAUAAAUCAAGACAAGAAGGUGGGCAGAAUCCUAGGGAACACUGAGGCAGAAAAAGCGGGGCCCUGGGCCAGGCAUCAUGGCUCACACCUGUAAUCCCAGCACUUUGGGAGGCCAAGGCAGGCAGAUCACUUGAGGUCAGGACUUUGAGACCAGCCUGGCCAACAUGGUAAAACCCUGUCUCUACUGAAAACACAAACAUUAGCCGGGUAUGGUGGCACAUGCCUGUAGUCCCAGCUACUCAAGAGGCUGAGGCAGGAGACUCACUUGUACCUGGGAGGAGGAGGUUGCAGUGAGCUGAGAUCAUGCCACUGCACUCCAGCCUGGGCACCACAGCAAGACUCCGUCUAAAAAAAAAGAAAAAGAAAAAGAAAGAAAGAAAGAAAAAGAAAAACAGGGCCCUAACUAAAAAAGACAGGAGGAAAAACAGGGCCCUAACUAAAAAGAGAGGAGGGGCCCUAACUGAAAAAAACCAGGGCCCUAACUUAAAAAGUCAGGAGGAAAAACAGGGCCCUAACUAAAAAGAGAAGAGGAAAUAAAUCAGACAGUGCAGCCUCCCAGAAGCAAAAGGAGGGAGUUUCUGGAACUGCACUAGAGACUGGCACAUGGAGUCCUGAGGAAAGAGCACUGGAUUGGACAUCAAGGAGGUCACUGCGGCCUCCCUGAUUGAACCAAGGUUCCGUGGAGGUGGGCACAGGGCUGGUACAUUGCAGGGGGCAGAGGAGUAAAGAGGGGUGAAUAAGCAAAGCUCUCAGGCGACGGUUGCUCAGCUGGGUCUAUGCCAGCCUGGCCCUGCAGGGUCUGCGGAAGACAGGGCCCCUGUGUCAUAGUCACCAAAAGCAUCAACAGAGCAUAACAUUCUUUUUGUUGACAGAUUACAUUGAGGCAACUUGGCUUUUGGAGUUAUCAGGGCUCGGUCUCAAAGGCAGAUUCAUCAGAGCCAAGACCCGGCCCUCAAGUCCUCCUAUUAGGGCAGCACUAGGGCCACCUCGUUGUCAGCAGAACCUUUGGGUAGCCGCUGAUGGGGUGAGUCAGCUUUCUGGGCCCGGCAGACCUUUUGGGAAUCCCUGGCUUUUGGGGCACAACAUCCUGGGGACCACCAAAAAGCCCUUUCACCUGAGCUUUGGUAAAGAGGAACAGCUCCGGCUGUGGGUGGCUCAUGUCACCAUCUGGAAGCCAGCUGGGCCACAGCAGACGCGUAAGUCCUGUAUUCAUUCAUCCCCUUCUCCUUUUGGCAGAAAAGGGAUGGCGUGGGUUGGAGGGGUGUUUUCCUGGGUUCUUGCACAAUUGCUCAUUAGAAAUUCACUUCUGUUUGGGUGUUGGAAGCUGGGCGAUUCCCCCUAGUAGUGAUCCUUCCUGUCUCACUGGUCACAAAGCUCUUUGGCAUCUACAAGCUCGUUGGGUCCACACAGCAGCUUUGUUAGGUGGGUAGGGGGAGACCAAGGCACCCAUCCUACAGGUGGAGAAACCGAGGCUGAAGCUGGGAGGUGAGCCAGUCUCCUGGCUUCCAGCCCAGGAUUCUGCACUCCUCCCCCGACCUCCCCACCUACUUCAGCAGGUCACCUGUGAAUCUGAUAGUCAGGUGGGCCCCACCCUGCCAGCUGGCCCCAGCGGGCAUGACUCAUCCGCUUCCCCAUGACUCACACACCUCAGGUGCUCCUCCUCUGGUCAACAAGUCCGGAGACUUGGCAAAUGGACCCCCAUUUUUCUCACCUCUCCAAAGCCUCUGGGAAGAAUUCCUGCACCUCCUCUUUAUGGGGACUCUGCUCUUCUACAGAAGAGCAACCAAGGCCUUGAGAGGGAAAGCAACUCUCCUAAAGUCACAUAGCAAGCAAGCAGCACGGCCAGGGUGGGAGCCAGGCAUCUGGGCACCGAGCCCAGUCCCGGCCUCCUCCCCACAAGAUCACUCUCGCCUGACCUCCCUCUCAAGGACAGGAAAGGAGCAGAGACGCACUCUGAGCCUUAUUAGGAAGACCUCAGGGACUCCCACUGAAUCCACUGUGGCUACAGCGGCUGCUUCCACCACUGAAGUCCCCUCCAGGCUUCCCUGGGCAGCCAGGGCGGGGUUUAAGAGGACGACAGGUGUCUGCAUUGCUCUACCUACCUAACAAGGCUGUGCAGGGUGAAGAGUGCUGCUCCGUGGGAAGGCGCUGGGACCAAGGCCGAAGCACUGGACAAAGAGAGCUAUGAGCACCACCUGUAAACAAAGGGCACAGAAUGUCAGCCUCAGGGGGAGUUCAAGGUCAUCUGGUCAAAUCCCCAUUUGAUGUUUCAACUCCUUUCCUCCCCUCCACCAGGGGUCACACAAUCAGUACUUGCACACAUCCAGCAACACCGCACUCACUACCUGCCAAGGCUGCAAGACCUGCUGCUGGAGGGUUUGGCUGGGUAAAAGAAUUGUCCUAAGGAUGCACUAAAAUCUCUCUCUUCUUAUGCCUUGUACCUGCUGGUACUAGCCCUGCCUCCUUUUGGGUCAGCCAGAACAGGUCUGUCCCCCUCUUUCCUGAUGGCUGUUGGGAGAUUUGAAGACAGUGAUCCUGGGCCCCUCAAGUCUUCUACAAAUUGUGCACCCCCUUUCCUCCAGCUCUUCCUGAGACCAGGGUUUCCGGUUCCCUCACCCUGUUCCCUGAUCUGCUCCAGAUGAAACCUGUCCCUACUGACAGCACAAGACCCAGAAUUAGACAAUCAGUCAAGCUCUACCCAGGGCAGGGCAAGCAGGACUCUCACCUCCUUCAUUAGAGAUAUCAUGCUUCUAUUAAUUGAGCCUAAAAUCCCAUUUGCAUUUAAGGCAGCCCUAUUGCAUGGCUGAAUUCAGUCUACAGUCAACUUCAGAGCUGUACGUUAGUACUCUGAAGUUAUAUAAACUGGGCCUUCACUUAACUGUGUAACUUGAGCAAGC
This 4751-nucleotide non-coding RNA is filed under the name Pan troglodytes (chimpanzee). The record is from RNAcentral. Lineage: Eukaryota; Metazoa; Chordata; Mammalia; Primates; Hominidae.